AUUAUGGCAGGUUGUAGUAGAAAAAAGAAUGCUCUAUUUUUUGAAACAGCUGGACACCUAUAUUAAAUUUCUGUAUUUCUGGCACAGGGAGGAUAAUGAUUGCUGGUCCACCAGGGCUGGGGAGACAAUCGAUAAUUUCCUUUCCUUAUAGAAAUGGAGCUUGUUGGAGUUGAGAACAGACAGCAGAUCAGUCAACACCCUCAAUUUCCAGUUGAGACGAUGAAAGCUGAGAGGAGUAACAUGACUUCCCCAAGGUCACAAGAGUUCAUUUUGGAGCCUGAAGUUUUCCUUGCUUAAUUGAUGAAGGACUAAUAAAGAAUGCCCUGUUCCCUGGACUACAGUUCUCUCGAUGGCAGGAUCCUCAUGUCACUUUUACGCACGUAUUAAAUUGCUGCCCAGAAGCCAAAUCUUCUACUCUUGCGAACUUAAUGGAAAGCUAGGGAGGCGGGUGGCGGCAGCAGCAUCAUCAUCAUCAUCAUCAUCAUCAAUACUCAAGGAGCGACGCUUGGGUCAUACCCAUGGCUAUCCCUGGUCACAGGAUAAAUUGGAACAAACAGAGCCCCAUGAUUGGAGAAAAGGUCCCUUGGAGCGACAAGGACUGAAGAAGUGAGUGUUUUGGAUAACAGCUGGUAAAAGAGGCCUCAAGCUCCAAAGCGUAGAUCUCAGUUGUAAAGCGCUGUGCCACCUUCGCUGAGGCCGGAAGUAAGAAAACUUUCUACCAAAGGACAGAUGGGACACCUCCCAGGAAAGCUUUCCCUAAAUUAUUUCUUCUAAGUAAAAGGAGAGACCUUUAGGAGGACGGUAGGAGGAGAGCAAAGGGAGUACUGAGCAGAUCUUCGUAGCCAGCAGGCUGUGAAUUCUUUUAUGACAAAGUGCUGUUACCGAGCACGGGCUUGCCACCUGAUGCCCACAGAAGCUGACACCGUGGCACCCUGGUUUUUGAGGGAAGAAAGGCUGUGCUGCUAGACGGAUCUGCAAGGCUGACUCUGUAUCUCAGGGGUUCAUCCUAUGGGGCUUCAUCUCUGGCCCUGAGGACUCUCUUCUGUGUCACGGGGGCCUAGACACCUGAGAACUGCACGUCUAGGACCUCCUCCCCAGCUGCUCUCCAGGCACGUCCUGCCAGUAGGAGGCAGUGCAGGGCAUAGGAAUGUGAAGGGGUGAGAGAAGGCUCUGUCAGAUCCUGCUUUUAGCCGUCACAGCGACAGCAGGGGCAGCCCGGCAGCCUCAGGUGUGUGGGGCCUAUGGACUCCUGACUCUGGCAGCAGCAAUGGUGAGGACAGCUGUGGGCUGCUGCAAUGGCGGUGACAGUGACGGCAGAGGCGACUGCAGGCUCCAGCAGCAUCAGUGGGAAAUUGUCUGUCCAGGGACGAUUGGCAAGUGGCUGGCUUUAAUGCUUCAUGUGGGAGAAGUGGGGAAAAUAAGGUUGCAAAAGUCGGAUGCAUCGAGACUUUGGAGAAGCUGACAAUGGGGCAGAGAGCUGUGCUGUCCGUCUGAGGGCGACGCGUGGGAGAGCUGGUGAGCUUCUCCAGUUACACCCAGAACUUAGACAUUCGGAGAUCAAAACGGGAUAUUCAUUUUUUCCCUGUGUGACAUAUUCUUUCACCUCGAAUCUCUUGUUCAUGGAUAGAGACAAGACCAGACUGUGGAAGAGCAGGGACAGACCCGUCUAGUGUCAUUUCCUGUGAGAGAACUUGUAAUACCUCUGUUAAUAAGAAUUCCUUACAUUUUUAUAGCAUUUUGUGAGAACUUCUAGUGUGCGUUAUUUAACUUAUCCUUGCAACAAAACUGCUGGGUAGGUUUAAUUAUGGUCCUGAUUUCACAAAUGAAGAAACGAAUAUUCGGACUGCUACGUGAUUUGCCCAAAGAUACACUGCUGGGGCAGAGCUGGGCUUCAGCCUUGGGGCAUCUGACUCCGUUUUCUUUUCAGUUUUCUCUGACGUAGUGUUUCUCUACCUUUACAAAGGUCUUAUCUCCUAUUUUGAGAAACUCAAAAAUUUCCGCCUCUUCUUUCAUGUUUACUAUAGAUUACUUUCUGAGCCUGUUGUGCUACGAAGAUUUCAUACACUCAUAAAUUUCGAUGUUGAAUAUGUGGAUACAUAAUGCUCAAGAAGGAGGCAGGGCUUCCUCCCUCUGCAGUCUCUGGUUCAGAAACACUGCCUUUUCAUCACAGUGCUGCUCUUUGUUAUUUUAGUUGGUCUUUAUGAUGACAAAAGAGUGCCAAUCCUAUUAUAUCUGAAGUUCCAGUUUUUAGUUACUAAUUUUUAUUCAUUUAUGAGUUAGCUAGAAUACAUCUUCAAGUUACUUUUCAAUAAACAUGGAAGGGAAUAUAUACUUAUAUUCAGAUUUUUGCACAUCUGAAAUGUGUAGAAAAUUCAGAUUGUUGCAUAUCUGAAAGCUCUUUCAUACAUGAGAAAGUGGCUGCUCACAAGUCUUGGAACACAAGCUUCUCCCUCAGAAGUCUCUAUAUGUAGCUGCACUGGCUUCUGGCAUUUAUUUUUGCAGACAAGCAUGAAGUUGUGGAAAUUAAUAAAGAGAAACCUCAUUAAAUUGGAGUCAGGAGGCCAAAAGGGGGAGCUCUCACUCCUUGUAUCUGAGCAGAGUCAAGAAGCUCAGCCCGUGAGAGACUGUCACAACUCAGCCAGCACGAAGCCACUAGGGGUGGUGCGAACUUGCAAUUCCUCCAGCGGACUCUGUUUACAUAGAGCCUCGCUUUCCUCUUCCCGUGUCUUAGAGCUUCUCCUCCUUGCUGCUGGGGGACUUGCCCCUGGCUCGCCAUGGUUGCAGACCCCAAACUGCAAUUCUUUGCUGAUCCCGAAUAAACCCAUUUGUACUGUAGAAAUAACUGGCUGUUUGUUUGUUUAAGGUCAACAAAGUCAACUGGUUUUGUUCCACUUACAUAACUAUUUUUGAUUUAUGCUUUGUUUUUUUUCUGGCUCCAAGGCUUUUUAAUUGUUGCAUAAAAAUUGCAACUAUCUUCUGGG
RNAcentral lists this long non-coding RNA (2981 nucleotides) under Equus caballus (horse). Its description in RNAcentral is "lncRNA (ENSECAG00000050153.1)". Lineage: Eukaryota; Metazoa; Chordata; Mammalia; Perissodactyla; Equidae. The record is from RNAcentral.